Molecule: ribosomal RNA, 413 nt
Filed under: uncultured cyanobacterium
Lineage: Bacteria; Bacillati; Cyanobacteriota
Description: bacterial SSU rRNA
Rfam family: Bacterial small subunit ribosomal RNA
Source: RNAcentral
UUGGGUUAAGUCCCGCAACGAGCGCAACCCUCGUCUUUAGUUGCCNGCAUUAAGUUGGGCACUCUGGAGAGACUGCCGGUGACAAACCGGAGGAAGGUGGGGAUGACGUCAAGUCAGCAUGCCCCUUACGUCUUGGGCUACACACGUACUACAAUGCUUCGGACAAAGGGUUGCAAGCGUGCGAACGCAAGCUAAUCCCAUAAACCGAGGCUCAGUUCAGAUUGCAGGCAUGCAACUCGCCUGCAUGAAGGCGGAAUCGCUAGUAAUCGCAGGUCAGCAUACUGCGGUGAAUACGUUCCCGGGCCUUGUACACACCGCCCGUCACACCAUGGGAGUUGGCCACGCCCGAAGUCGUUACUCCAACCGUUCGCGGAGGAGGAUGCCNAAGGCAGGGCUGAUGACUGGNGUGAAGU